RNAcentral lists this ribosomal RNA (924 nucleotides) under Acrotona sp. prope austiniana HE-2010. Its description in RNAcentral is "SSU rRNA". It matches the Rfam family "Eukaryotic small subunit ribosomal RNA", at positions 439 to 1292 of the family's 1831-position model. The record is from RNAcentral. Lineage: Eukaryota; Metazoa; Arthropoda; Insecta; Coleoptera; Staphylinidae.
AAUUACCCACUCCCAGCACGGGGAGGUAGUGACGAAAAAUAACGAUACGGGACUCAUCCGAGGCCCCGUAAUCGGAAUGAGUACAAUUUAAAACUUUUCCCGAGGAUCAAUUGGAGGGUAAGUCUGGUGCCAGCAGCCGCGGUAAUUCCAGCUCCAAUAGCGUAUAUUAAAGUUGUUGCGGUUAAAAAGCUCGUAGUCGAAUCUGUGUCCCGCGCCGCUGGUUCAUCGCUCGCGGUGUUCAACUGGCGUGUUUCGCGGGACGUCCUGCCGGUGGGCGCUCGUGCUGUUUCGGCGGUGCGUGGCCCAACUCGUAGCCGUCUCGCGCGGUUGCGAAUCCCAUCGCGGUGCUCUUUAUUGAGUGUCGAGGUGGGCCGGCACGUUUACUUUGAACAAAUUAGAGUGCUUAAAGCAGGCCAAUUUUGCCUGAAUAUUGUGUGCAUGGAAUAAUGGAAUAGGACCUCGGUUCUAUUUUGUUGGUUUUCGGAACCCCGAGGUAAUGAUUAAUAGGAACGGAUGGGGGCAUUCGUAUUGCGACGUUAGAGGUGAAAUUCUUGGAUCGUCGCAAGACGGACAGAAGCGAAAGCAUUUGCCAAAAACGCUUUCAUUGAUCAAGAACGAAAGUUAGAGGUUCGAAGGCGAUCAGAUACCGCCCUAGUUCUAACCAUAAACGAUGCCAGCUAGCGAUCCGCCGACGUUCCUCCGAUGACUCGGCGGGCAGCUUCCGGGAAACCAAAGCUUUUGGGUUCCGGGGGAAGUAUGGUUGCAAAGCUGAAACUUAAAGGAAUUGACGGAAGGGCACCACCAGGAGUGGAGCCUGCGGCUUAAUUUGACUCAACACGGGACACCUCACCAGGCCCGGACACCGGAAGGAUUGACAGAUUGAUAGCUCUUUCUUGAUUCGGUGGGUGGUGGUGCAUGGCCGUU